Non-coding RNA from Bombyx mori (domestic silkworm), 84 nucleotides. Lineage: Eukaryota; Metazoa; Arthropoda; Insecta; Lepidoptera; Bombycidae. The record is from Rfam.
UUAACUCAAAUUUGUAUGGAGUUGGAACGUUUGCCUACGUUUGCUGCUAGGGGCGCUUUUCCGACUGCAUAUAAAUUUCAGUUC